Felis catus (domestic cat) is the source of this 2479-nucleotide RNA transcript. It is a transcript of the gene named IQ domain-containing protein F2, with no coding region annotated. The record is from RefSeq and is a predicted model, not a curated record. The transcript is spliced from 5 exons. NCBI's taxonomy places the organism in Eukaryota, Metazoa, Chordata, Mammalia, Carnivora, Felidae.
AAGGAUGGCCAGUUUUGUGAAAUCACAAUAGAAGAAGACAUUGAUGAAACCAGAUCAAUGAAGAAAAAAGAGAAAAAGAAAAAAAUACAGUCUUCACCCACACCGCCACCCCCUCCACCAAAGAAGUCUGGUCCAGAUAAGGAUGCACUAGAGACUGAGAAGCUGAAGAGGCCAUGGGAGAAGCUCUUUUCUUACUCCUGCUUUCUGCCACCUGACUAAAACCUGAUGCUUCCCUGUGAUCCUGUGUGACAUGCAGUAACCUCUGCUUUGGGACCUACUCACGGCAAUUUAAUUGUACUCGUAAUUGAAGAUGUUGAAGAAAGAACCGAAUGGAAGAAGACGGAGAAGCAGAAACUCAAGCCAUCACCCCUGACAUGUCCUUGCAUCUUUCUUUACCCAGUUCAGAUUCUGCGGUUAUUAUUGUAAUCUCUGCUCUGCACAACUUGACUUCUCUUAGCCCUCUCUCUGCAAGCAUGUGUGGGGUGAACUCAACCAUCUACCUGCUCUGUGCCUGCAGAACAGCGAGCAUGGCUGGAACAAAACAAACAAUCCUGAGGCAUGAUCUAUCUCAGUUAAUAUUCAUAACUGUAGAUGUCUACUGGACAAAUUUCCCAAAAAAUUUCUCUGCUAUGCUUGCAUUUCCAUGUUCUGAGUUGAAAAUCCAUAUCACCUCCUCUCCAAAUGUCCAGUUCUACAUCUUCUCCCCUUGAACUGGAUGAUGGUAUAUGUCACCACACACUCAACUGAAGAAAUGGGAGCAGACUGGACCCCCAUCUUCCUACCACCACAUUCUCCCUUUUCCUUCCCUCUAAAUACAAACUAAAUACUGUGAAAAUAAUUCAGUAGACAAUCCUAAAAGGACUCUGAAAUGUGGAAAGAAGGUGGAUCGGCUAGGAACCUCAAGAUUUAAAAAUGUACACCAUGAUGAAUUCUCUAGGUUUUCUUUUUAUCUAUCAUGUAUCUCAGACUGGACACCAGAAAUGUCUGCAAUUCAGAACCACUAAGGGGUAUAGAGGAAAUAAAACAAAAACAAGAACAGCCUGCUCUCUAUAGCCAAAGGAAGGGUAGCCUCACAGAAACUAUGCAGGGAGACCCAUACCUAGUGGCAAUGACAGGCUAACCUGCCUGCAGUAGUGACACUAGUACCCAGAUGGAUCAAUCCGUCUCAUGCUCCAAAUCCACUGGUAGCAGCAGGCAUGAUCUGCCCACAGCAGCAGCAAUAAUGGAACCCAGGCUUAUCUACCCUCUCCGUACCCCACAUCAGCCAGCAGCAGUGGCCCAAGCUAUCCUCAGAAGCAGUAGCAGCAGAACCCACCACAUUUCUUAUCUGCUGAUGGAAGCAGGCCUGAUCUACCUUCCUGAUGAAAGAGACUGAAGAAGAUACAAAUAAAUGGAAACAUUUUCCAUGUUCAUGGUUAAGAGGAGUUAAUAUUGUUAAGAUGUCCAUACUACCCAAAGUGAUCUAUGGAUUCAGUUCAAUCCCUAUCAUAAUUCCUAUGGCAUUUUUCACAGAAAUAGAAAAAAGAACCCAAAAAUUUGUAUCGAGCCACAAAUGAUCCUGAAUAGUCAAUGUAAUCUUUAGAAAAAAAAGAACAAAACUGAGAGGCAUCACACUUCCUGGUUUCAACUAAUAUUAACAAAGCUAUAGCAAUAAGAACAAUAUGGUACUGCCAUAAAAACAGACACACAGACCAAUGAGACAGAAUAGAGGACCCAGUAAUACACCCACACGUGUAUGUCAAUAUUUGACAAGGGAGCCAGGAAUACACAUGGGUAAAGACUAGUCUCUUCAAUAAAUGAUGGGAAAACUGGAUGUCCACAUGCAAAAGAAUGAAAUUGAACCUUUAGUCUUGCACCAUGUACAGAAUAAACUGAAAAUGAAUUAAAGACCUAAACAUAGACCUGAAACUGUAAACUUCUAGGAGGAAACAUAGGAGAAAAACUGCUUGGCAUUUGUCUUGGCAGUGAUUGGAAACAGUUGAGAAGAAUUGGCUUUAAAUGGUUGCUAGAAUUCACCCAUCAAGUAUGUGAACUUGACUUUACUGGGAGAUUUUUUUUUUUUUAUUACUGCUUGAAUCCACUUGCUAUUGAUCUGUUCACAUUUUGUACUUCAUCAUGAUUCAGUCUUGGUAGGUUGUAUAUUUCUAGGAACUCAUCCAUGUCUUCUAGGUUAUUCAAUUAGUUUGUGUAUAGCUGUUCAUAAUAAUAUGAUCCUCUGUAUUUCUGUGGUAUCAGGUGUAAUAUAUACUCUUUCAAUUAUAAUUUUAUUUAUUUGAAUCCUCUCUCUUUUUUUUUUCUUGGUUAGUCUAGCUAAAGGUGUGUCAAAAUUGUUUAUCUUUUUAAAAAACAGCCCUUAGGUUAAUUGAAUUUUUCUAUUAUACUAUUUCUGCUCUAAUGUUUAUUAUUUUUCCUCACUUUGGGCUUAGUUUGUUCUUCUUUUUCUAGUUCCAUAAGAUAUAAAGUUGGGUUGUUUAUUUGA